AUCUGGCUGACGAGUCCUGAAUAGAACGAAAUGUGCCUCCUGGAU
Trichobilharzia regenti is the source of this 45-nucleotide non-coding RNA. Lineage: Eukaryota; Metazoa; Platyhelminthes; Trematoda; Strigeidida; Schistosomatidae. The record is from Rfam.